AAAACUUUAAGUUAAAUUUAAACUAUUAAUCUUCAAAAUUAAAAAUAUUAUUAUAAUAAUAAGUUUUU
Molecule: transfer RNA, 68 nt
Filed under: Telenomus sp. ZCS-2018
Lineage: Eukaryota; Metazoa; Arthropoda; Insecta; Hymenoptera; Scelionidae
Description: tRNA-Trp
Source: RNAcentral